Molecule: unclassified non-coding RNA, 146 nt
Filed under: soil metagenome
Description: partial internal transcribed spacer 1
Source: RNAcentral
CCGAGUUUACAACUCCCAAACCCCUGUGAACAUACCUACGUUGCCUCGGCGGAUCAGCCCGCGCCCCGUAAAAAGGGACGGCCCGCCCGAGGACCCCUAAACUCUGUUUUUAGUGGAACUUCUGAGUAAAACAAACAAAUAAAUCA